Molecule: long non-coding RNA, 2050 nt
Filed under: Ananas comosus (pineapple)
Lineage: Eukaryota; Viridiplantae; Streptophyta; Magnoliopsida; Poales; Bromeliaceae
Description: long non-coding RNA (ACOM_LNC009609)
Source: RNAcentral
AAGUACAAUUUAUGCAUCUUUAGUUUAAUAUAAUAUAAAAGCAGAAGGUUCUGAAUUCGGAUACUGUUCGAUCCUUAGCCGCAUUUAAUCUCCUUUCAUUUACUUAUUCUUUAAAAGCUUAAAUUUUUGGCGAACGUACAUCAUUUGAGAGAACCAAGCUCAAACUUGACUAAAAGUUUAAGGACUAGUAGCUUAAUUUAACCCAUCUAAAUUAAAAUAUGGCUAAACUACAGAAAAAUUUUCUACAAAUAUUCGAUUUUUUUUUUCCUUCCUAACUUUUAAAAAUCUAUAUUUUAUUUUCUCAAAAUUUUUAGUUGAUGCAUUUAGCCUCCCCUUUGUUCUGAUUCUGUCACUAUCCCGUCCAAAUAUGGAUAAUUUGGUCAUUUGGUCAUUUUCAUUAAAACCGUAACUUUUUGAAAAUAUUUUUGAAAUAUCUAAGAAGACAAAAUGUAGAUUUUUAAAAGUCAGAAAGAAAAAAAAGGGAAAAAAUAGUUAUUUAUAAAAAAAAAACUAUAUAAUUUAUCCUUAAAUUAUACCUAGAUAUUUCUUUAGGGCGAUGUGGUCCAAUUGAGCCUAAUAUAUCAGACUUACCAAACGCUCUACAGCUUUUAACAGAAAUCACUUUUUCAAACCAAAAUCACUUUUUCAAAAAUCAUUUUUUCAGUAGCUAGGCCAAACAGGCCCUAGGUACUAUUAUUAUUACCACCACCACUACUACUACUACUACUANCGGCCGUCGCGGUUUUUGGUGACGCAUAGCGAAUGAAUUGAUAUGUUGGCAUGUUUGGGUAACUAGACCAUGUACAAAUUUUGCUGUCAUGUUCUACUUAUGCAAACAUAUAUUUGUGUAGAUCUUUUUUUUUUUUUUUUUUUUUUUUUUUUUUUUGCAGGUUGGUAUGUAGCAUGUGCAAUUUAUGGUGCUAAAUUAGAGUGAUGUAUGAGAAGGGUUUUUUAUUUUAUUUUAUUUUAUUUUAAUGUUUUGUAGAAAAGAAAUAUUUAUUAGUGUAGAUUAUUGGCACUAAAUAAUCUUCUUUUUUUUUUCCUUGUGGUUUUUCUUUUAUUCUAUUUCGAAUUGUGAGGGGUUAGAGCAAAAUUUUGGUUCUUUAAUUUUGGUUUUGCAAAAUUGGUUUAAAAUUGGAUCUGAAUACACAUUUGGAUAUGAUUAUCAUGUAUUACUCUCAUUUGGAUAAGAAUUUUAUACAACAAUGCAAUUCUUAGAAAAAAAAAAAAAAGAAAGAAAGAAAGUAAGUAUCAUUUUGCCAUAUUAAUUUAAUUACAUAACUUUUCUUUUUUUUCUUUAUUUUUUUCGAUUUGUCACAUCGUAAUAAAAUCGAACAAAACAAUCAAACCCUAAGAAAUAAUUUACUGAUUAAGUAUCUGAGUGUCGAUGUUGAGAUCAGUGGUUUGAAUACCCUGCAUGAGCUUAAAUUUUGAGCCAAUGUUCUCAGCAUCGGAUUUGAGUUAUUAAUGAACGCCUAUGCGAGGGAUCGAAUUUGUGACACACCAAUAGUCCCAUAUUGAAUAAUGUGAAAGAAUAAGUUAGGAUUAUAAGUAACAGACAUACUAGUAAUAAUAAGUAUUUUGGACUGAUGGUUUGGAUCCAACAAGUUAUUAUUACUAAUAGGUUGGAUUGUUAUAUUUGGUAUCCGAACUAAUCAUCAGUCAAAAGUGUGUGAUGAGUCCCAGCGGAGUCAGAGCUAUUUGUGUGAUAAGCUGAUAAAUACGUCAUGACCUAAUAAAAACUAGGUUUAAAUAUUUUGGACUAGUGGUCUGGGCCCAACGAGUUAUUAUUGCUAACGGAUUAAGUUGUUACAGAAUCCCCGACGUCUUGACUUAGCGACCAGAUUACCAACCACCUACACAAUGUAUUAGUGGUUAAUUAACAACUUAGCAUAGAAAAACACUAGAGUUAGGGGUGCAUUGAUUAAAUUUAUCCAAUUGUAUACAUAUAACAUGGUGAUUUAAUUUAUCCACAUUAAUACACAUAGUAUGGUAAUUAGAGUUAGAAAAAUAAGAUAUUAAGCUAAAGAAACACUAGAUUAGUAUUGGA